Thalassophryne amazonica is the source of this 210-nucleotide long non-coding RNA. RefSeq lists it as uncharacterized. The transcript has 4 exons. The record is from RefSeq and is a predicted model, not a curated record. Lineage: Eukaryota; Metazoa; Chordata; Actinopteri; Batrachoidiformes; Batrachoididae.
UAUUCUGCGACCUGAAGCCAGCAAAUAUCUUGUGGAGGUUUUGCAGUCCGUCAGUCCAUCUGAACUGGAUGACGUCAUAGAAAAACUCCUGGAUUCAGUGGAAAAACAGCCACUGUCCUCUACUAUGAUCGAGCUGUCUGUGGUGGAAAGUGCUGUUCAGGACUGCACUCAGUCUUGUGAUGAAACCAUAGAUCAUGUUUUCAACAUCAU